CCCCUAGAUGUUCUGGGCCGCACGCGCGCUACACUGAACAGUUCAACAAGUCUUAACCUUGGCCGAUAGGUCUGGGUAAUCUUUGAACGCUGUUCGUGAUUGGGAUAGACCUUUGCAAUUAUGGGUCUUCAACGAGGAAUUCCUAGUAAACGCAAGUCCUCAGCUUGCAUUGAUUACGUCCCUGCCCUUUGUACACACCGCCCGUCGCACCUACCGAUUGAAUGGUCCGGUGAAAUCUCGGGACGGCGGCUUGGUCGCUUGCGUCCGACUGCUGAAACUUGAUUAAACCAUAUCAUUUAGAGGAAGGUGAANUCGUAACA
This 320-nucleotide ribosomal RNA is filed under the name uncultured eukaryote. RNAcentral describes it as "partial 18S ribosomal RNA". It matches the Rfam family "Eukaryotic small subunit ribosomal RNA", at positions 1470 to 1796 of the family's 1831-position model. The record is from RNAcentral.